Cryptomeria japonica (Japanese cedar) is the source of this 72-nucleotide non-coding RNA. The record is from the annotation of a RefSeq genome assembly. Lineage: Eukaryota; Viridiplantae; Streptophyta; Pinopsida; Cupressales; Cupressaceae.
UCCUUAGUAGCUUAGUGGUAGACCAGUCGGUUGUUAACCGAUUGGUCAUAGGUUCAAAUCCUAUUUGAGGAG